AACGAACGCUGGCGGCGUGCCUCAUACAUGCAAGUCGUACGCGAAUCCUGCCGCAAGGCAGGGUUUGAGUGGCAAACGGGUGCGUAACACGUAGGUAAUCUUCCUUUGAGUUGGGGAUAAACCCUCGAAAGGGGGUCUAAUACCGAAUAACACUUCUGGUUGGCAUCAACCGGAAAUUAAAGAUGGCCUCUGCUUGCAAGCUAUCGCUCGGAGAUGAGCCUGCGGCCGAUUAGUUAGUUGGCGGGAUAAAAGCCCACCAAGACUUCGAUCGGUAGCCGGUCUGAGAGGAUGUCCGGCCACACUGGGACUGAGAUACGGCCCAGACUCCUACGGGAGGCAGCAGUCGAGAGGCUUCGGCAAUGGGGGAAACCCUGACCGAGCGACGCCGCGUGGAGGAUGAAGGGCCCUUGGGUUGUAAACUCCUGUCAUGUGGGAAGAAACCUCACGGGUUCGAAUAGGGCCGUGACUUGACGGUACCACAAGAGGAAGCUCCGGCUAACUCCGUGCCAGCCGCCGC
Molecule: ribosomal RNA, 517 nt
Filed under: uncultured bacterium
Lineage: Bacteria
Description: bacterial SSU rRNA
Rfam family: Bacterial small subunit ribosomal RNA
Source: RNAcentral